UUGCAGCAUUUCCAAGAUGGCCGUCGUGCCCAGCAGCAUAUCGAGAGCUCGUGGAAACAGCUGGAGUCUAGUAAACGCCGGUUUGAACGCGACUGCAAGGAGGCCGAGCGAGCUCGACACGUCUCUGACAGAAUCGACCUGGAGAACAAGACGGACGGAGAAAAGCGCUGCUCACUGAAGGCUCGACAGACGGCUCAACAGAAACAACAAGCUGCUGAAGAAUCGAGGAAGGACUAUGUGACCAGUUUAAGCCAGUUUAACCAGGACCAGCACCAGCACUACCACACUCUGGUACCUGUUAUAUACCAGCGUAUUCAGGACAUGGAGGAGCGUCGUAUUGAA
Long non-coding RNA from Cynoglossus semilaevis (tongue sole), 342 nucleotides. RefSeq lists it as uncharacterized. Lineage: Eukaryota; Metazoa; Chordata; Actinopteri; Pleuronectiformes; Cynoglossidae. The transcript is spliced from 5 exons. The record is from RefSeq and is a predicted model, not a curated record.